CUCCUCUGUGGAGCCCUUCCUGCAAACCUAGAUCUUUGGAUACAGAAGUUCAGAAGUGUAUGGGAGCUAUUGAAUCACCACCUGAAUCUCUGAUUGAUCAGCUGAGACAACAUAUAAGGAUUGACAACCACUGAGGAAGGAUUUCUCUGGAGAUUGCUCUUCUUGGAGUCUUUUUCUGCGAGCCCAGGAUGUGGCAGGUUGAGUCUCAGCAUCUUAGUGAAAUUUCAGACUGGAAAUUGAAGCUAAUUAUACAUGGUUUUGUUUUGUUUUAUUCCUGUAGAACCUACAUUUAAUAUACUUUAUCAAAAUUCCUUUUUAUUGCCCCUUAAGAUAUAAUAUUUAUGAAUUAAUGUGCUUUAAGAUAAAACUAAUAGGAUUUAGCCUUUGGAUUUUAUAUUCCAUUGUUAUUUAAAUUCAUUCUUACUGAAUUUUUUGAAGAUCUGUCUCUUCACUGUGCCAUUUGUUGCAAUUGUAUUACCAUUAAUCUUUGAAAUUUAAUUCAUAUUUUACUUGUCUUUCUGGGUAGGUAGUAUUUGACUAUUUUCCAGUAUGUGUACACCUAAAUAGUUUAAGUAGGUUUUCUCAUCAAUUUUCAGCUUUCAUUAUAUUUCAUGGUAUCAACAGAUUUAGAAGUUCUAAUAGAUUAUUUCUGGUGCAAUAUGUCUUAAAAAUGAGAAAUUAUUGGUAACUUGAAGUCUGUUUGUAUUUAUCAGGGUAUACAAAGAUUUUUAGGCAGACUAUUACAAAUACAUGGUUUUAAAAUUUACCAACCAGAUAAAAAAAAAAAAGAUGUAAAUAGUUACUGAGUUAUUUUUCACUGAAUUUAUCUUAAAAGUUUAUGGAUAUGCUCCAAGUAUUUGAAGAAAUUUCUCUGUUAAUAUAAUUUCACAAUAAGCAAUAAAUUAAGUGUUGUCAUAAACCAACCAGGACCACAACAUGAAUAUGGAGGAAAAAUGAUUUGACUGAAAUAUUUCAAGUUUGUGUUUUUAUGUAGAAUACUUCCAUUAGAGGAUAAUACUAAAGUAUUUGGUAAUGGACUUGUACACAAAGUCACCUUAUCUUAGCCAAAGCUCAAAAUGAUUCUGAAAGCGGAGAUUUGAAUGACAAAACUCCUCCUCCUAAUCACUAUUGUACAUAAAAAGCAAAUAAAUAAAUGAGAAAAAAAAAACACAACAACAAAUAAACAGGGGCUGAAGGGAGUACUCUGACCUCAGUCUGGAUGAAGUUAUCCCAAAAUAAACCAGAGAGUUAAAAUGCCACAUAUGCAAGUGAUAUCCACACAUUUAAGUCAUAGCUGUCACUUCGCUAAUGUCAGUGAUUCUUGGCCAGGCAUAAAUCUUUUUAAAAAGGUUAUUGGAGGUCAUUUUUCCUUCUCAUCAGAACUUUUUUUUUAGCAUCACAUCCACUCAGUGGACAAGGCAAUUCAAUCUCCUUAGGCUCAGCUGAUGCUUUACAGCCCCUCGUUAGUAAGGAAUCCUAAUUGCCAAUUCUAUCCCAUCUCUCCCAAAUCCUGAUGAAGUCUGUAUGUAUGAAGUCUCAUGGGUGUAAGCUGUCUCUAUAUUCCAGUACCUCUUAUGGUAAGUCACAGCUUUUGGGUGAAAUUAACUCUAGUAGUAUCAAUCUUCAUGCCAAACUCUUCUUCAUUAGGAGCUAGAAAGUGUACCUUUUCCCUUCUUCAGGCAUACAUGGUUUCAUAAUCUUAUAAUUGCAUUUCUGAAAGUGUAUGUUUUUAUGUCCAUUUGGAAUAAGAAUUUACCCCUUUUUCUAUUGUUUCCGUACAUCACUUUGAAUGCAGAAUCAAUUGGGAAGAGUUUCCAUUAAUAUAGAGAUAUUAUUUGAUUAAAAAGAAUGUUUUAGGUUUUAUGUUACUAAAAUGAAGGGAUUUUAGUGCAUAACAGCUGAAGAUAUAAUGAGCAUUUUGGGGUACAAAGAAAUAUGUGACUGGAAUUAUUAGUGUGAGUUGUACAAAGGAAAUAUGUUAAAUGAAUAAUUCUAAAACUGUUCCCACAUAGGUCAAGAGUGAUUCCACAUUUGCGAUUUCUGAUAUGAGUUUUGUAUUUGAUUUUGUGUUAUGUUAGCUGGCAUUAAGACAGUGGUUUCUUUGUACUCAAGUUGGAUAAAAAGUUCAAAGAUGUCUUUAAUAUGAGAACACUCUCUGUGUAAUGGAAUAAGAAACAAGAUUCUAAA
Molecule: long non-coding RNA, 2187 nt
Organism: Lagopus muta (rock ptarmigan)
Lineage: Eukaryota; Metazoa; Chordata; Aves; Galliformes; Phasianidae
Exons: 4
Source: RefSeq, a predicted model, not a curated record